Non-coding RNA from Roseiflexus sp. RS-1, 24 nucleotides. Lineage: Bacteria; Bacillati; Chloroflexota; Chloroflexia; Chloroflexales; Roseiflexaceae. The record is from Rfam.
GGCGAAGCCCGCCGGCGCGGGCUA